AGCAGCCGCGGUAAUUCCAGCUCCAAUAGCGUAUAUUAAAGUUGUUGCAGUUAAAAAGCUCGUAGUUGAAUUUCGGGAUCAAUUAAUUGGUCGUGCCUCUGGUACGUACUGAUUUUAUUGGUUUCUCCCUUCUGACGAACCAUGAUGUCAUUAAUUUGGUGUCGUGGAGAAUCAGGACUGUUACUUUGAAAAAUUAGAGUGUUUAAAGCAAGCUAACGCUUGAAUACAUUAGCAUGGAAUAAUGAAAUAGGACGUUUGAUCCUAUUUUGUUGGUUUCUAGGAUCGACGUAAUGAUUAAUAGGGAUAGUUGGGGGCAUUAGUAUUCAAUUGUCAGAGGUGAAAUUCUUGGAUUUAUUGAAGACUAACUACUGCGAAAGCAUUUGCCAAGGAUGUUUU
RNAcentral lists this ribosomal RNA (396 nucleotides) under uncultured Glomeromycotina. RNAcentral's name for it is "SSU rRNA". It matches the Rfam family "Eukaryotic small subunit ribosomal RNA", at positions 569 to 970 of the family's 1831-position model. The record is from RNAcentral. Lineage: Eukaryota; Fungi; Glomeromycota.